UUAACUACAUGGAAAAUGAAGUUUGCAUUUUUCUCCAGGGAUAAGUUUUUCUAUUAAACCUAAAUCUAGCAGAUAGUUUUUUGCAAACAUGGACUUUUUGGAAUGAGAUCUAUGGGAAACACAGUCUCUAAUUUAAGGGAUGGGACAGUUGGUUUCACAAUGACAGUUGCCCUCCUGGCUCCCUUCCCUGACAGCCCUAGUGCAGAUGACUGCAGAAAGAUACCAGAAGGGACGGAACCAGAAAAACUCAAUGACGUGCACAAGCCCUAAGGAUCACCCCUGCUCCUCUUCAGCUUCCCUAGGUUACAAGAUAAUGGAGAAAGAGUGGAGAAGAAACUGACACAAGGCACAGAGAGAUGGAUUGUUUCCUGCCUUUUGUCUAUGUAACAGAACCACUGUCUUCCUGUAAGCCCUAUGACAAUGUUUGUUGGCAAUUUCUUCUAACAACCAUGGAGGAGGUGCUAUAAAGGUAUUGAGAAGGAGUUCUGCACUGUGGAUAAUCAUCUUUCUGGAACUGUAAGUGUGGAGGACUAAGUGCCAUUUACUGUACUCAACUAUUAAUGA
Molecule: long non-coding RNA, 564 nt
Organism: Cyanistes caeruleus (blue tit)
Lineage: Eukaryota; Metazoa; Chordata; Aves; Passeriformes; Paridae
Source: RefSeq, a predicted model, not a curated record